RNAcentral lists this ribosomal RNA (274 nucleotides) under uncultured bacterium. Its description in RNAcentral is "partial 16S ribosomal RNA". It matches the Rfam family "Bacterial small subunit ribosomal RNA", at positions 523 to 796 of the family's 1533-position model. The record is from RNAcentral.
CUACGGAGGGUGCAAGCGUUGUCCGGAUUUACUGGGUUUAAAGGGUGCGUAGGUGGCGUGUUAAGUCAGUGGUGAAAGCCUGCAGCUCAACUGUAGAGGUGCCAUUGAUACUGACAUGCUUGAGUAUGGACGAGGUAGGCGGAAUUUGUGGUGUAGCGGUGAAAUGCAUAGAUACCACAAAGAACACCGAUAGCGAAGGCAGCUUACUGGACCAUAACUGACACUGAGGCACGAAAGUGUGGGUAGCGAACAGGAUUAGAAACCCCAGUAGUCC